This 460-nucleotide ribosomal RNA is filed under the name uncultured bacterium. RNAcentral describes it as "partial 16S ribosomal RNA". It matches the Rfam family "Bacterial small subunit ribosomal RNA", at positions 338 to 795 of the family's 1533-position model. The record is from RNAcentral.
CCUACGGGUGGCAGCAGUGAGGAAUAUUGGUCAAUGGACGUAAGGCUGAACCAGCCAAGUCGCGUGAAGGAAGACGGACCUAUGGGUUGUAAACUUCUUUUAUAGGGGAAUAAAGGUAUCCACGUGUGGGUAUUUGUAUGUACCCUAUGAAUAAGCAUCGGCUAACUCCGUGCCAGCAGCCGCGGUAAUACGGAGGAUGCGAGCGUUAUCCGGAUUUAUUGGGUUUAAAGGGUGCGUAGGUUGUUUUGUAAGUCAGUGGUGAAAGUUUGGGGCUCAACCAUAAAAUUGCAGUUGAAACUGGAAGUAGUGAGUAUGUGAGAGGUAGGCGGAAUGCGUGGUGUAGCGGUGAAAUGCAUAGAUAUCACGAAGAACUCCGAUUGCGAAGGCAGCUCACUGGGCCAUAACUGACACUGAGGCACGAAAGCGUGGGGAUCAAACAGGAUUAGAUACCCGAGUAGUC